UGCCAGCAGCCGCGGUAAUACGGAGGGUGCAAGCGUUGUUCGGAAUUAUUGGGCGUAAAGCGCGUGUAGGCGGCGAGAUAAGUCGGAUGUGAAAGCCCGGGGCCCAACCCCGGAAUUGCACUCGAUACUGUCCCGCUAGAGUCCCGGAGAGGAAGGCAGAAUUCCCGGUGUAGAGGUGAAAUUCGUAGAUAUCGGGAGGAAUACCAGUGGCGAAGGCGGCCUUCUGGACGGUGACUGACGCUGAGACGCGAAAGCGUGGGGAGCAAACAGGAUUAGAUA
This 279-nucleotide ribosomal RNA is filed under the name uncultured bacterium. RNAcentral describes it as "partial 16S ribosomal RNA". It matches the Rfam family "Bacterial small subunit ribosomal RNA", at positions 506 to 784 of the family's 1533-position model. The record is from RNAcentral.